Molecule: non-coding RNA, 528 nt
Organism: Chiloscyllium plagiosum (whitespotted bambooshark)
Lineage: Eukaryota; Metazoa; Chordata; Chondrichthyes; Orectolobiformes; Hemiscylliidae
Source: RefSeq, a predicted model, not a curated record
CGGAUCUGAGCUAACUUUGUCAGUGUCAUGUACUAUACACAAGAAUUGACCUCCAUGAUUCUGACUGACCUCCGUGAUACAUAUAGAGUCCUCUCUGGUAUUCUGGGACACAUGAUAUAACCAUAUGUGGAUGAUUGGAAAGUUAAUUCUGCGGUCUUCUUCCCAUUAGCACUUCACAUGUAGUGAGACCAUUUUGAGAUGAUGUGAGACAUAGUUGACUGUACUUAGCUGAACUAAGUAAUUUAUCUUCAAUAAGAAUUUGACUGUCCUGACUCCUUCCCCAGCUUCUAUAUUUUCCUGAAUGAACUGACAAUGUGUAUAAAACUAUAAAGGCAUUCCGAACCAGUCAUUGGCAAAACUGGGUGUUACCGUCUGAUAUUGCUAAGUCUGGAAUGCCAUACAUAGCUAAACUUCCCUUGAGUAAAGUCAUCACAAUUUUUGAAGUGGAACCAUACAAGUAUUUAACUUCAAUCUUUUGGAAGAAAUCAUCAAGAACUUAAAGAAUGAUGUUCUCGUUGAGCUCAAAGU